GCAUUUGAUGAUGAGUGAAGUACUUGGAAGUUUCCUUACUGCCCUCGGCUUCUUUACAGUGCUGCCUUGUUGCAUAUGGAUCAAGCAGCAUUGUACAGGGCUAUGAGGGCACUGAGACUUGCUCUUCA
This 128-nucleotide microRNA precursor is filed under the name Cervus elaphus hippelaphus. The stretch from base 37 to 114 matches the Rfam family "mir-103/107 microRNA precursor family". From Rfam's summary of the family: This family consists of the mammalian microRNA (miRNA) precursors mir-103 and mir107. Animal miRNAs are transcribed as ~70nt precursors and subsequently processed by the Dicer enzyme to give a ~22nt product. In this case the mature sequence comes from the 3' arm of the precursor. The record is from RNAcentral. Lineage: Eukaryota; Metazoa; Chordata; Mammalia; Artiodactyla; Cervidae.